GGAAUUGACGGGGCCGCACAAGCGGAGGAACAUGUGGUUAAUUCGAUGAUACGCGAGGAACCUUACCUGGGCUUAAAUGUAGAGUGCAUUUUUAGAGAUGGAAAUUCCCUUCGGGGCUUUCUGCAAGGUGCUGCAUGGUUGUCGUCAGCUCGUGCCGUGAGGUGUCGGGUUAAGUCCCAUAACGAGCGCAACCCUUAUCGUUAGUUGCCAUCUGGUAAUGCAGGGGACUCUAGCGAAACUGCCACCGUAAGGUGAGAGGAAGGUGGGAUGACGUCAAAUCAGCACGGCCCUUAUGUCCAGGGCUACACACGUGUUACAAUGGUCGGUACAGAGGGCAGCUACCUGGUGACAGGAUGCUAAUCUCGAAAACCGGUCUCAGUUCGGAUCGAAGUCUGCAACUCGACUUCGUGAAGCUGGAUUCGCUAGUAAUCGCGCAUCAGCUAUGGCGCGGUGAAUACGUUCCCGGGCCUU
This 471-nucleotide ribosomal RNA is filed under the name uncultured Sphingobacteriales bacterium. Its description in RNAcentral is "bacterial SSU rRNA". It matches the Rfam family "Bacterial small subunit ribosomal RNA", at positions 906 to 1382 of the family's 1533-position model. Lineage: Bacteria; Pseudomonadati; Bacteroidota; Sphingobacteriia; Sphingobacteriales. The record is from RNAcentral.